RNAcentral lists this small nucleolar RNA (107 nucleotides) under Ricinus communis (castor bean). RNAcentral's name for it is "Plant small nucleolar RNA R71". It matches the Rfam family "Plant small nucleolar RNA R71". Rfam says of the family: R71 is a member of the C/D box family of snoRNAs containing the C (UGAUGA) and D (CUGA) box motifs. Multiple nearly identical copies of this snoRNA have been identified in Arabidopsis, and it is thought to function as a 2'-O-ribose methylation guide for 18S ribosomal RNA. The record is from Rfam by way of RNAcentral. Lineage: Eukaryota; Viridiplantae; Streptophyta; Magnoliopsida; Malpighiales; Euphorbiaceae.
AAAACAUGGUGUGGACAGCUCCUCAGUAAAUCCUUGAAAUAUUCCCAGUAAUCAUACAGAGUCUCAUUCUCUUGCUAAAGAAACCCUGCUAUGUCAUUCCUUAACUU